Molecule: ribosomal RNA, 253 nt
Filed under: uncultured bacterium
Lineage: Bacteria
Description: partial 16S ribosomal RNA
Rfam family: Bacterial small subunit ribosomal RNA
Source: RNAcentral
UACGUAGGGUGCAAGCGUUGUCCGGAAUUAUUGGGCGUAAAGAGCUCGUAGGCGGUCUGUCGCGUCGGAUGUGAAAAUCCAGGGCUCAACCCUGGACCUGCAUUCGAUACGGGCAGACUAGAGUUCGGUAGGGGAGACUGGAAUUCCUGGUGUAGCGGUGAAAUGCGCAGAUAUCAGGAGGAACACCGGUGGCGAAGGCGGUUCUCUGGGCAUUACCUGACGCUGAGGAGCGAAAGUGUGGGGAGCGAACAGG